Molecule: ribosomal RNA, 154 nt
Filed under: Lysinibacillus sphaericus
Lineage: Bacteria; Bacillati; Bacillota; Bacilli; Caryophanales; Bacillaceae
Description: partial 16S ribosomal RNA
Rfam family: Bacterial small subunit ribosomal RNA
Source: RNAcentral
UUUUAUGGAGAGUUUGAUCCUGGCUCAGGACGAACGCUGGCGGCGUGCCUAAUACAUGCAAGUCGAGCGAACAGAGAAGGAGCUUGCUCCUUUGACGUUAGCGGCGGACGGGUGAGUAACACGUGGGCAACCUACCUUAUAGUUUGGGAUAACU